This 505-nucleotide ribosomal RNA is filed under the name uncultured bacterium. RNAcentral's name for it is "partial 16S ribosomal RNA". It matches the Rfam family "Bacterial small subunit ribosomal RNA", at positions 28 to 507 of the family's 1533-position model. The record is from RNAcentral.
GACGAACGCUGGCGGCGUGCCUAAUACAUGCAAGUAGAACGCACAGUUUAUACCGUAGCUUGCUACACCAUAGACUGUGAGUUACGAACGGGUGAGUAACGCGUAGGUAACCUGCCUGGUAGCGGGGGAUAACUAUUGGAAACGAUAGCUAAUACCGCAUAAUAUUAAUUAUUGCAUGAUAAUUAAUUGAAAGGUGCAAUUGCACCACUACCAGAUGGACCUGCGUUGUAUUAGCUAGUAGGUGAGGUAACGGCUCACCUAGGCGACGAUACAUAGCCGACCUGAGAGGGUGAUCGGCCACACUGGGACUGAGACACGGCCCAGACUCCUACGGGAGGCAGCAGUAGGGAAUCUUCGGCAAUGGACGAAAGUCUGACCGAGCAACGCCGCGUGAGUGAAGAAGGUUUUCGGAUCGUAAAGCUCUGUUGUAAGAGAAGAACGGGUGUGAGAGUGGAAAGUUCACACUGUGACGGUAUCUUACCAGAAAGGGACGGCUAACUACGUG